Molecule: microRNA precursor, 106 nt
Filed under: Pelobates cultripes (western spadefoot toad)
Lineage: Eukaryota; Metazoa; Chordata; Amphibia; Anura; Pelobatidae
Source: RNAcentral
AAUAUUCAAUUAUCCAUAACGCGUUUCGUCACAAAAGGACUUUUUCAAAUGGAGUCAAUUUGAAAAAGUCCUUUUGUGACGAAACGCGUUAUGGAUAAUUGAAUAU